CUGACGCUGAGGCACGAAAGCGUGGGGAGCAAACAGGAUUAGAUACCCUGGUAGUCCACGCCCUAAACGAUGAGUGCUGAAUGUUAGAUGCUUUUCGCCCUUUAGUGCCGCAGCUAACGCAUUAAGUUCUCCGCCUGGGGAGUACGGUCGCAAGACUGAAACUCAAAGGAAUUGACGGGGGCCCGCACAAGCGGUGGAGUAUGUGGUUUAAUUCGAUGCAACGCGAAGAACCUUACCUGGUCUUGACAUCCUGUGAGCUCUCUAGAGAUAGAUUGUUCCCCUUCGGAA
RNAcentral lists this ribosomal RNA (288 nucleotides) under Priestia megaterium. RNAcentral describes it as "Bacillus megaterium partial 16S ribosomal RNA". It matches the Rfam family "Bacterial small subunit ribosomal RNA", at positions 740 to 1026 of the family's 1533-position model. Lineage: Bacteria; Bacillati; Bacillota; Bacilli; Caryophanales; Bacillaceae. The record is from RNAcentral.